GGCAUAGUCUCAACUGAGGCGCCUCUUCCAAGAUUACUCUAAUUUAUAUAAAGUGGGAAAACAAAACAAAACAAAGAACAAAAAAAAAAAAAAAAAAAAGAAAGAAACAAAACAAAACGAAAACACAACCAGGACAGUAGUGCUCGACCCUAAAUGAUAUGUCCAUAUCAUAUCCCUUCUGUCAAGGCUCAGUGAUCUAUGCAGAAGGAGUGGAAGGAAAGAACGAGCCAGAGGAGAUAGAUAACAUUAAGGAAGCUGUUUUCCACACACAACAGGGAACAUGCGCAUAUAUACUCAUGGCACUGGACAAGGUAGCUCACUAGCCAGUCAAAAAUCCAGCAUAGAAGUAGGAAGUGAGCAAAAAUUCCACCACUGGCUGUGGAGGUAUUGGUAUUUGCUGACUGCCGGGAGAGCCUGAGUUAGUUAUCUCGAAUGAUGUGACUCCUAUACCAGGACAAUCUUACCCCACCAAUAACUGGGCAUUAGAAACUAGACCCAAUGGGGAAAGAAGGAAGAAAAAAAGAAAUAAAAAACUGAACUUAUCUCAAAGCUGGGUGUGAAUGGUUAGGAGGGCAGAGAAGAUGGUAAUGGGAGCGUUUGGGAAAGGGGGGUGAAGAUGUUCAGAAUAGGUUAUAUAGACUUCUCAAAUAAUUCAUAAACAUACUGGGAAAAGAAUUUCACUCUUGCCAAAUUAUCUGUUUUUAUAUUUUGGAACAUAUAGAAUACACUACUGUAUACAUGUAAUUUAUAAACAAAUAAAUCCUCAUCUACUGUGUAGUUCUAAAAGCUUUUUCUCAAAUGAAUAUCUUUCCCUUCCAUUCUGUGUGUCUCCUAAGUGGGGUCCCAGAAAUCACAAUGCAGGCAUUGUCAUCUGCGAAAGACAUUUGGGAACCACAUGGGCCAGAGUUUAUACCCAUAAAUUAAAAUAGACAAAUUGAUGUGUGAAAAUUUAAAAAGUCAUGCAGGUUCAUCCUUUUCUAAGCCAAGGAUAGAGCCAUGUGACAGAACACGUUUUCGGUAUAUUCUUUAACUGAAUAAAUGGCUGAAGGAAGAAUCUAUAUGAUAAAAAGAAUCUAGUUUUGCGUUUUGCAGUUUAACUACUAACCAUGGAAAGCUUGAAUAGUACAAAUGGUCAGAAUUUCAUUCGACUCCACACAGAUAUUUCAGCUAUCUAUCUUGUUUUUCUAGAUUCUCCUGUGGUUCCUGUUGAGACUCAUUAUUUCCACCUUCAUCUAUGUUGCCUUCUCUGGCCUUUGAAAUCUCCACACCCCUGCCAGGCAGGUCUUCAACAAUGUAGUGGCCCUCCAGAUCUUUCAAGCUGUUCAUUGAAAUCUCCCACUGAGGACAGCAGAGGCCUGUGAAAUGUCAGUCACCCCUGUCAUACACCCCACUUUCUCCAGGUAGACCAAGCUAGGCAUUUCCCUCUCAAUGCCAGGAAUAACAAAGAAUGACAAGGCAAAUAGUGCAGGUUCUAGAACAUUCUUAGGUGAAGCCCAGUUCCUGGGGUGAGAGAGACCAGAUUAAAGAUUGUAAAAUUUAGAUCUCUUCUUAGUCUAUUUUGCAUUGCUAUUAUAAAAUGACUGAGGCUAGACAACUUAUGAAUUAAAGAGGUAUAUUUGGUUUUUGGCCUUCAUGGUUGGAAGGCUUCUAAAAGAAUGGGUCUCAGUAACUUGGCAAAGUACCCUUAGAUGCACCACAGUGUGGUGAAGGGAGUGGAGAUGGAGGCACUCUCAUGUAUGGGGAGGACUAGGUAAUGUGGAAAGACAAGAAACAAGAGACUGGGGAGAUCAUUCUUUUGAUAACACCCACAAUUCUUGAGAACGUCCAUCCCUACUUACCUGACCAGUCCUAUAAGACAGCACCAAGAUUUCAUGAAGGUAGGACCCACGUGACCUGGUCAUUUUCUGGCAGACUUUCAAAGAUGAUGACACAUAGCCCUUUGGGGGACAGACAGUUCAAGCCAUAACAGGUAAGUAUGGGGCCUAGUUGCUAAUGAAGAGAAGACCUCAUGAAAAACAGAGGUUGAGUUUUAGCAUCCAGAGAACACCAACAGGGAUAACUUUUUAAAUGUGAAAUCAGUUUAAAAGCUGGUUAUCAAUUGAGCUACAAAGUUCCUUUGCUUUGGUCCUUAGGCUGGCUUUGUGACCCCUGGUCUGCCAUGAGCACCCUGUGGAUUGUUUCCUCAGUUCUGCUCCUUUGUACUUUGUUGUAUUUAUUUUUAUCUUUCUCCUAGACAUCGAACAGGCCUUGAACCAGUGUUUGUUUCUUCUUCCUUUCUUAGAAGAAGAGAACAUAGUGAAGGGAUUCCUUAAGGUUCCUGAAGAGAUUGCUUGGAAACUUAAGACAGAGUGUGAGAGGGAUGGGAGCAGAAGAAAGGAGGAGAGGGAAUGAAGAAAAGAUGAACAGC
This 2407-nucleotide long non-coding RNA is filed under the name Mus musculus (house mouse). RNAcentral describes it as "long non-coding RNA chr18:39660876-39663283". Lineage: Eukaryota; Metazoa; Chordata; Mammalia; Rodentia; Muridae. The record is from RNAcentral.